RNAcentral lists this ribosomal RNA (554 nucleotides) under uncultured bacterium. RNAcentral's name for it is "partial 16S ribosomal RNA". It matches the Rfam family "Bacterial small subunit ribosomal RNA", at positions 356 to 900 of the family's 1533-position model. The record is from RNAcentral.
AGGGAAUCUUCCACAAUGGACGCAAGUCUGAUGGAGCAACGCCGCGUGAGUGAAGAAGGCUUUCGGGUCGUAAAACUCUGUUAUUGAAGAAGAACGUGCGUGACAGUAACUGGUCAUGCAGUGACGGUAUUCAAUCAGAAAGUCACGGCUAACUACGUGCCAGCAGCCGCGGUAAUACGUAGGUGGCAAGCGUUGUCCGGAUUUAUUGGGCGUAAAGCGAGUGCAGGCGGUCUUUUAAGUCUGAUGUGAAAAGCCUUCGGCUUAACCGAAGAAGGGCAUCGGAAACUGGGAGACUUGAGUGCAGAAGAGGAGAGUGGAACUCCAUGUGUAGCGGUGAAAUGCGUAGAUAUAUGGAAGAACACCAGUGGCGAAGGCGGCUCUCUGGUCUGUAACUGACGCUGAGGCUCGAAAGCGUGGGUAGCAAACAGGAUUAGAUACCCUGGUAAUCCACGCCGUAAACGAUGAAUACUAAGUGUUGGAGGGUUUCCGCCCUUCAGUGCUGCAGCUAACGCAUUAAGUAUUCCGCCUGGGGAGUACGACCGCAAGGUUGAAAC